Molecule: ribosomal RNA, 253 nt
Filed under: uncultured bacterium
Lineage: Bacteria
Description: partial 16S ribosomal RNA
Rfam family: Bacterial small subunit ribosomal RNA
Source: RNAcentral
UACGUAGGUGGCAAGCGUUGUCCGGAUUUAUUGGGCGUAAAGCGCGCGCAGGCGGUCUUUUAAGUCUGAUGUGAAAGCCUUCGGCUUAACCGGAGAAGUGCAUCGGAAACUGGAUAACUUGAGUGCAGAAGAGGGUAGUGGAACUCCAUGUGUAGCGGUGGAAUGCGUAGAUAUAUGGAAGAACACCAGUGGCGAAGGCGGCUACCUGGUCUGCAACUGACGCUGAGACUCGAAAGCAUGGGUAGCGAACAGG